This 202-nucleotide long non-coding RNA is filed under the name Lupinus angustifolius (narrow-leaved blue lupine). Its description in RNAcentral is "long non-coding RNA (LANG_LNC000624)". The record is from RNAcentral. Lineage: Eukaryota; Viridiplantae; Streptophyta; Magnoliopsida; Fabales; Fabaceae.
UCUUCCUCCAAGGUAUUAAUAGCGAGGCAAAGAUAAGGAUCAGUGAAUUCGUCUGACAUAACCUUCUCCUCUUCCCCUCAUCUAUCUCAAUAUGUGUUUUGUUAGCUUACAUUCUAGCUCAAGCUCUAGUUUUGAAAAUGUGAGUUUCAUUAAUGCUAACCGUUUCCUAGGGUUAGCAUCCCUCUAGAUUGUGUUGCAGUUG